GCUGAUAGACCAAUUGCAGGUCCCGGGGGUGUUUGCUCCGGGAUAGACAAAUGGGAACGCGGUUGAAAUCCGCGACGGUCGCGCCGCUGUGAGCGCCUGCUCCGAUCAACGGAUCGGAAAUCCGAGAGACGUGUUGGCCACUGUUCGAGGCUGAGGAUCAGCAUCGGACGGGAAGGGGUCUCGAGGUAAGACGCAAGUCAGAAAACCUGCCUGUAGUUGAUUGCACGU
This 228-nucleotide non-coding RNA is filed under the name Planctomycetota bacterium. Lineage: Bacteria; Pseudomonadati; Planctomycetota. The record is from RNAcentral.